UUUCGCCUAAAUGCAUUGUGGGUUUCUUUUAAAAUGCUUGCUAUUUGCGUUUUAAACUCUCCCGCCUAUUCGAAGUGUUUUAUUGCUAAAAAGAUAUGGAUUUUAGAUAACUGCAAGACACGUACAGGUAGAGUUUCCACCCGUCUCGUAAAGUAACGUUAGUCGAUCGUCCCGUGUUUAUGAAUGAAAUUAUGUCGUGUUUCAAAUCGACACUGUACACUGUUUGUCCCAUUAUUUCAACAUGUUUGACGUUCAGAUCAUUCAAGUGGACCCUGCCAGCAUUAUAAAUUUCUUCAGAUCACAUACAUCGAUCCAUCUCCUACAACAACCUUUAGUGUCCAACAGCUGUUUAUCAGCAGCUCUCUCUCUCUCUCUCUCUCUCUCUCUCUCAGCUUUUCCUUGCCUAUUUUUCUGAACUGUUAUUCAUAAUUAAUUUACACAUUUUUGCUCUCUUCCUUUCUCUUUUUCAUCAUGGCAUAUUUUCAGAGCUCAGAAUUGAAUUUUGAUCGGUUAUGUCAAAAAGCUGCUAAUAUUAACAGCUAAAAAGGAAGGCCUGUCGAACUCUUGUCUUGUCUUGUUUGUGGAGAGGGAUGAAUUUGGCCAUCUUGUGUGUUUAUGGAGAAGACCAAAAGCUGCAAAGGCAAACAUUUCCAAUGGCAGAAACAGAGAGCUUGCAUGAUGGCCUUUUUCAGUUUUGUCAACUGAACGGCUACUAGUGAGGGUCAGCAAGUUUUUGUCAUGAUGAGCCCUCGCCAGGUAAGCCAAAAUGGAAGACCAAAAACACAAAGAAAAUCAAUCACAGCAAGCCAGUCAAACCAGUCCUGUUGGGAAUGAACAUGGUCUUCUUGUGCCCAAACAGAGAAGACCGAGAACUGAAAAUUUGCACAUUUCCAUUGCUCCUAGAAUGAGCAAAUCAGCUGUGCAUCAUCUCUGGAAUUUGGGCAGGAAAUGACCGAAUAUGGAGGAUGAAGCCAGUUGAUGAAGAUACCAAUUCAGUGGCCACCAAGUGCUGCACUGCUGCCUGAACCCAUCAGAUAUCUGCUGUGAAGACUGCAUUCACGAACAGCUCUACUGCGACAGCUCAGAUGUUACGGCCCAUAAAAGAUACUUACCAACUGAACAACUGCAAGAUAGUGGUGGAGGGAUUUUUUUAACUACAAGAAGAGUCAAGUUUUAAAUAGGACAAAUAUCGAAACUCUUUGGUCAUUUUUGAACGCGAUGCUACUGGUCUAAUCGGAUUCAAUGAUCUAUGCUAAGCUAUGCUAAAAGUGCUAUCGCCAGACCCGGAGAGCGGCUGAAUGGAUUCCAAAACGGUAAAACUCAACUUAUUAACUCUGGGGGAGUUGGAGAAUGAGCCUAUUUCCAAAAAAAGUGGAGUGUUCCUUUAAGGAUGGUGUUUGGUACAUACACCAUUUAAUUUUGUAAACAAUACAUAUAAUUACCAUGAUUGUUUUAAUUAAGACAUUAUCAUUAGGUCAUAUUAAUGAAGGCUGAAAGAUGCAUUAGAAGAGAAUGCAUGAAGUAAAUUGCUACAAGCACUUCAUGCAUACCUGAGGAUGAUUUACCAGGGAAAGAUCAACAUGAAUAUUAUAAUGAAGAUGAGCAUGUACAUUACUGAUGUCCAACACUUGAGUAGGACAAAGAUGCAAUUUAUUUGACAAGAGUUUUACAAAUUCAAGGUCUUUUAUGCUAUGAUUCUUGGCAAUGCACGAAUUGUAUGACUUUGCACAUAAACUACACACUGUCUGUACCUUGUCUUACUGAAUGACACAUUGGCGUAAUACUGUAAUAGUACAAUGAAGUGUCACAAUAUGUAUUGGUUGUUUAAUUUGGUGUCUUUGUUUACUGUCAGCACUGUAUUUUUGUUCUUGAUCUAAUUAAAUAAAUGGAGUCCGUUCC
Onychostoma macrolepis is the source of this 1899-nucleotide long non-coding RNA. RefSeq lists it as uncharacterized. The transcript has 7 exons. The record is from RefSeq and is a predicted model, not a curated record. NCBI's taxonomy places the organism in Eukaryota, Metazoa, Chordata, Actinopteri, Cypriniformes, Cyprinidae.